UUAUUGGUGGAGUGACUUGUG
RNAcentral lists this non-coding RNA (21 nucleotides) under Arabidopsis thaliana (thale cress). Lineage: Eukaryota; Viridiplantae; Streptophyta; Magnoliopsida; Brassicales; Brassicaceae. The record is from RNAcentral.